GCUCAACCGCAAGACCAUGGCGGAGAGGUGCCGCAUCGGGGUGGAAGUUUCGGACGGGAGGAGCUCCGACGCGUUUGUGAAGCGGGAGGAGAUUGCUGAGGCCAUUGCGAGGAUCUUUAGCGACAAAGCUCGAAAGGCGAGAGCGAGGGAAUUCAGAGGCAGCGGCGUCGGGUGGUGGCUCUCGGAAUAACCUGAUGCUGUUCACAGACUUGCUGAUGUUUGCUCCCGGCCAAUGGGAGGCGGCCAAGCCGCGUGGGGCGGGAGAAGAAGGCACAGCGACACGUGUGCCAGUGGUGUCCUGCCCCCGUGCCCGUUCUUCUUAGCUCGCCCUGGAUGCCCUGUCGCAAUUGAGCUAACGCUUGCUUGCCGGAUCAGUGGCAAUCGCAGCAAUUGCGCUUCUUCCCGCAAAGGUCUGUGUUCACCGUCGGCUGGGCAGCCGCUAAUUUGGCCCCUAACCCCAACAAUCUGGAUUUUUGUGUGCUGUGAAAAUUUGAAACGUCUUCAUUUGGGUUUGUGGAUGCUAUCCAGUGGCAGAGCUGAAGCCAGAGCCAGCCUUCACAGCCAGAACCAUCAGAUGUGAGAGAGAACAAGCCCAAGUGUAAGAAGAAGGCGAGUUCUGGCUUUUACUUAGAAUCUCUGAAAAUUUUAAGAUAAGUGCUUUGACACUAGAUAGGUUAUUUCAUCUCAUUUAUCAUCCCUAGCAAAUAUGCCUCGGCUUCGCGAAGUAUUAAGAGGCAUACGUCACCAUUUGCCUCCAACUAUUGACACUAGCACAUAUAAUCAUAUUCACAACAACCUUGCAUAUGGUAAUGAAGAAACUAAUCUAGACCUUGAACAUGCUAAUGCAAAAAUUACUUCAAAUCUUGACAAUGCUAAUACAAACAUAGCAUAUGCUGAUGAAGGCCAUACAAAUAUAAACCUUGAAAAUGCUAAUGAAACUAAUACAAAUACAUGUAAUCAUCACAGUUA
This is a long non-coding RNA of Selaginella moellendorffii, 969 nucleotides long. RefSeq lists it as uncharacterized. The transcript is spliced from 2 exons. The record is from RefSeq and is a predicted model, not a curated record. Lineage: Eukaryota; Viridiplantae; Streptophyta; Lycopodiopsida; Selaginellales; Selaginellaceae.